This 400-nucleotide unclassified non-coding RNA is filed under the name uncultured fungus. RNAcentral's name for it is "sequence contains ITS1". Lineage: Eukaryota; Fungi. The record is from RNAcentral.
GGACUACCGGGGUAUCUAAUCCUGUUCGAUACCCGCACUUUCGAGCUUCAGCGUCAGUUGCGCUCCAGUGAGCUGCCUUCGCAAUCGGAGUUCUUCGUGAUAUCUAAGCAUUUCACCGCUACACCACGAAUUCCGCCCACUUUGUGCGUACUCAAGGAAACCAGUUCGCGCUGCAGUGCAGACGUUGAGCGUCUACAUUUCACAACACGCUUAAUCUCCGGCCUACGCUCCCUUUAAACCCAAUAAAUCCGGAUAACGCCCGGACCUUCCGUAUUACCGCGGCUGCUGGCACGGAAUUAGCCGGUCCUUAUUCAUAAGGUACAUGCAAAAAGUCUCACGAGACUCACUUUAUUCCCUUAUAAAAGCAGUUUACAACCCAUAGGGCCGUCUUCCUGCACGC